GCGGGUGUAGUUCAGUAGCAGAACACCCACCUUCCUGGUGGGAGAGCUUGGUGCAAUUCCCGGCGCCCGCU
RNAcentral lists this transfer RNA (71 nucleotides) under Luteococcus japonicus. RNAcentral's name for it is "tRNA-Gly". It matches the Rfam family "tRNA". Rfam says of the family: Transfer RNA (tRNA) molecules are approximately 80 nucleotides in length. Their secondary structure includes four short double-helical elements and three loops (D, anti-codon, and T loops). The record is from RNAcentral. Lineage: Bacteria; Bacillati; Actinomycetota; Actinomycetes; Propionibacteriales; Propionibacteriaceae. RNAcentral also lists the same sequence under 3 other names.